RNAcentral lists this unclassified non-coding RNA (345 nucleotides) under soil metagenome. RNAcentral's name for it is "partial contains 5.8S ribosomal RNA, internal transcribed spacer 2, and large subunit ribosomal RNA". The stretch from base 1 to 119 matches the Rfam family "5.8S ribosomal RNA", at positions 35 to 154 of the family's 154-position model. The record is from RNAcentral.
GAUGAAGAACGUAGCGAAAUGCGAUACGUAAUGUGAAUUGCAAAUUCAGUGAAUCAUCGAGUCUUUGAACGCACAUUGCGCCCCCUGGUAUUCCGGGGGGCAUGCCUGUCCGAGCGUCAUUGCUGCCCUCAAGCACGGCUUGUGUGUUGGGCCCCGUCCUCCGAUUCCGGGGGACGGGCCCGAAAGGCAGCGGCGGCACCGCGUCCGGUCCUCGAGCGUAUGGGGCUUUGUCACCCGCUCUGUAGGCCCGGCCGGCGCUUGCCGAUCAACCCAAAUUUUUAUCCAGGUUGACCUCGGAUCAGGUAGGGAUACCCGCUGAACUUAAGCAUAUCAAUAAACGGAGGA